This is a non-coding RNA of Microcebus murinus (gray mouse lemur), 388 nucleotides long. NCBI's taxonomy places the organism in Eukaryota, Metazoa, Chordata, Mammalia, Primates, Cheirogaleidae. The record is from RefSeq and is a predicted model, not a curated record.
CUCUCCCAAGAUGGCAGCGAGGUGACCACACAGCCGGGGCGGAGGUGACCCUCGACCCGAGGGCAAGCAAGAGCAGAAUCGUCAGUCAGAAACAUCACCACCAAAGGCUAGAAUGUUGUCCUGCUGUUUCGUCACAAUUGAGAUGCCAGAUAAAGAAAUUCUGAGUUCAAACUACAAGGAACAGGCCAAACUUGGAAUCCGUCACUGCUAGAGGCUUGACUUGCAAACAUGUCCUAAUUGAUAAAGAUCCUGUAUCAAGAGAUGGAGAAAUGGAGGGAACGACAUUGAUUUGCCAGCCAAGCUCUGUGGACUAAAUCUGAGUCCUGGGAAAAGAAAGGAAGGCAUUCUUUCCAUUUCCUAGACACCCAUGGUUGUGGUUGUGCUGAAA